This 403-nucleotide ribosomal RNA is filed under the name Fusobacteriota bacterium. RNAcentral's name for it is "Fusobacteria bacterium partial 16S ribosomal RNA". It matches the Rfam family "Bacterial small subunit ribosomal RNA", at positions 355 to 776 of the family's 1533-position model. The record is from RNAcentral. Lineage: Bacteria; Fusobacteriati; Fusobacteriota.
UGGGGAAUAUUGCACAAUGGAGGGAACUCUGAUGCAGCGACGCCGCGUGAACGAAGAAGGCUUUCGAGUCGUAAAGUUCUUUUAUAUGGGAAGAUAAUGACGGUACCAUAAGAAAAAGCCCCGGCUAACUACGUGCCAGCAGCCGCGGUAAUACGUAGGGGGCUAGCGUUGUCCGGAAUCACUGGGCGUAAAGGGUUCGCAGGCGGAAAUGCAAGUCAGGUGUAAAAGGCAGUAGCUUAACUACUGUAAGCAUUUGAAACUGCAUAUCUUGAGAAGAGUAGAGGUAAGUGGAAUUUUUAGUGCAGCGGUGAAAUGCGUAGAUAUUAAAAAGAAUACCGGUGGCGAAGGCGACUUACUGGGCUCAUUCUGACGCUGAGGAACGAAAGCGUGGGUAGCAAACAGG